RNAcentral lists this ribosomal RNA (550 nucleotides) under uncultured bacterium. Its description in RNAcentral is "bacterial SSU rRNA". It matches the Rfam family "Bacterial small subunit ribosomal RNA", at positions 355 to 896 of the family's 1533-position model. The record is from RNAcentral.
UAGGGAAUCUUCGGCAAUGGACGGAAGUCUGACCGAGCAACGCCGCGUGAGUGAAGAAGGUUUUCGGAUCGUAAAGCUCUGUUGUAAGAGAAGAACGAGUGUGAGAGUGGAAAGUUCACACUGUGACGGUAUCUUACCAGAAAGGGACGGCUAACUACGUGCCAGCAGCCGCGGUAAUACGUAGGUCCCGAGCGUUGUCCGGAUUUAUUGGGCGUAAAGCGAGCGCAGGCGGUUAGAUAAGUCUGAAGUUAAAGGCUGUGGCUUAACCAUAGUAGGCUUUGGAAACUGUUUAACUUGAGUGCAAGAGGGGAGAGUGGAAUUCCAUGUGUAGCGGUGAAAUGCGUAGAUAUAUGGAGGAACACCGGUGGCGAAAGCGGCUCUCUGGCCUGUAACUGACGCUGAGGCUCGAAAGCGUGGGGAGCAAACAGGAUUAGAUACCCUGGUAGUCCACGCCGUAAACGAUGAGUGCUAGGUGUUGGGUCCUUUCCGGGACUCAGUGCCGCAGCUAACGCAUUAAGCACUCCGCCUGGGGAGUACGACCGCAAGGUUG